RNAcentral lists this long non-coding RNA (3390 nucleotides) under Apis mellifera (honey bee). RNAcentral's name for it is "uncharacterized LOC100578261, transcript variant X2". Lineage: Eukaryota; Metazoa; Arthropoda; Insecta; Hymenoptera; Apidae. The record is from RNAcentral.
AAAAUUAUUUUCAAAAAAAUUGAUUUCUUGAGUAAAUACUGUAUUCUUAAAAUUUCGGAUAUUUUAUGUACUUGAAAAUACUUUUAGACUUGUGAAGGGUUCAAAAUUUCAUUCAGAUUUUACUCAAAAGAAUUGUUUAUUUACGAAAUUAUUCUGAUAUGUCAAUAUUAAAUUAUCGUAUUAUUUACGUAUACUCAAUCCCAUCAUUAACGGCAUCAAUUUAAUCAAGAAGCACAAACGACUGCUAGCCGCACUUUUUGCAUCGGCUAAUUACAGGCAAGGUCAAGCCGAAUGGCAGCAGCUUAGCUCGUGGAAAAAAAAAACGAAACACGCGUGUCACAAGCGCGCAAGCUGCACGGUGUUCGCGCUCGGCGUGCGUAGCCAACGGACCCCCAUAAAAGAGCAGUGCAGCUGUGUUUUUUUUCGAAAAAAUCCGUGCCGUGUGUGCGGGAGCAUGCGGUCGAUUCGACGAGACAGUCACGGAGAAAAAGAGGAGGAGGAGGAGGAGGAGAAGGAAGAAGAAACAGAAGAAGAGGGCAGGUAAAGAAGAAACAGAAGCGCGGAAGGAGAAUCAGAGGCAGAGAGAGGAAGGCGAUAGACGUGGAGAGGCGGAGGCAAUGGAAAAAGAAACGAUUCGCCGCGGACAGAGGGUUGAAGAACGGGUUGAAGAAGCGGUGGAAGAAGGAGGAGAAGAAGCGGCGCAACAUGCCGAGGGUACCGGUCGAGGUGAAGGAGGAUAGCGAAGGGGCAAGGUGCUGCCAAGGUGGCGGUUAGGGCAGCUGAUCUUCGAAUAGCAGCAGGUGAAUGCGAAGAAGCUCGCGCUCGUGGAUGGAGCGAGACAACUGGGAUGGUAGUUGCGGUAGAUGCGCCGCUGGCUGUGGAGGAGGAAGAGGUGGGAUCCACGCGUGCAUAAAAGGUGUUUCGUUAUUGUUACCAAGCGCGCGCGCGCUACCCGCCUCUUGGAUUUAUUAAUCUUAUUCGCCGUGGCAACGGGUUCCUCUUGCUACCCUGAUCAAUCCAAGUCAACGUCGAACGUAUCUAACUUGUCCUCCUCAAUCUUGGAAUGGAGAUAUAUCAAUUUUAAAUUUAAGGAUCCAUUGAUUCAAAUUUGUUAUAAGGAUAUUUAAAAUUUGUCGAAGAAAGCACUCGUCAGUUGCGAAGAAGGUGCGCAAGGUGGCCGAGGAAUCUGUGAGACUUAACGGUCGGACACGCCACGGAAGAACAAGUGCAGGGUGCACUUGUGGGAAGAAGGUCAGGGGUGUUCCCAAGUUACGUGGCGUGGAGGGUGCCUUGGCCACGAAGGUGGCGGCUCCUUCUUCGUGGUCGUCGAAUUAAUAGGCCAUCUGCUUCUGCCUCCUUCGAGGAAGUCAAUGUUUAGGAAGUCCAUGGGAAGCGGCGACAACGGAAAGCCCCAUAAACGAUCGGAGACAUGGGAACGAACGUUUGCAAGGAAGUCGCAUGCGGCCCUGUUACGCACGAUAUAUUCCUUCGCCUUCUGCUAAUCAGGGGCAGAGACAGCGUAGGUGUGAGCUGCUAGCUAUAAGGAAACGAUGAGUUUGGAUCAAGGAUACUCCCAAGUGGUUACUUUUCCGGUCUUUCUACUCUUACUGUGAGACGUCCAACGUUUCUCUAACGGAUCUCUGAUUAGCCGUAUCCAAUAACUAUGAGAAUUCCUUGGGUAAAAAUGGAAAACGAGCAACACUUUAAAGCUUUACGUCAUAGAAAGUUUUGAAAGAUGAAAUAAGUAGAAGAUUUAAGAGAUAUUUCUAAAGAUUAAAAUAAAUAACAGAGAUUCUUCCAUUCCUAUACUUUCUGUAUCCAUCAAACGGCUACUUAUGUCAUGUUAAUCUAAUCAUUUGCGGAACUAUCGAAUGAUCGAUCUAGCCAGUAAAGAUUGGAAUUCCACGAAUUGCAUUGAAGAAUUGCGUUUCUUUGCACUUUCUCAAGACACCGUAGGCGAAGAAAAAUUGCGGGUGAGGACUAUCAAUAACUUCUGCGGAAUUCGCGCUAAAGGUUAACCGAAAGAGCGACCCGUCGCGUGUGUUCACGGAUCGAUCGGAGAAAUCGUCGAUCGUAACUGCAACAUCGUUUUUUACAAAACGACCUUUCUAUCAACAGAAGAUCGAAGAUUAGAUUCUUAAUUAUAUAACUCUUAAACAAAGAAUCUUAGAAUGGUCAUAGUUGACGUUAUGCAUGGUGAUUUUGCGGUUGAUGGAAGAUCUUGAAUUGGUGGAACGAAGUAAUAUGAUCGGAGAGAUUGAAAGCUGGAGGAUGGAAAAAGAUCACAAAACCGAGCAUGAAAAAGGAAAAAAGAUCGAUAGAAGAUUAGUGAACGAAGAAAGAAGAGAAAGAAAACUAGAAGGGUAUACGAUAGGAUCUACGAGGGCUUCUGUCUUCAGCGUGACUGGCCUUGUGAAGAGAAAUGUUGGGUACAGAGAAUCACAAAUAUGAACGUAUAUUUGCCACGACUCGGUGGAAAGAGCGUGAAAAGAAGCCUUGGCAUGGAAACUGGUUGACGUGUCCACAAUGGCGGGCAGGGUUACGUAGGCGCCCUUGGAUCCCUAUUCAGGAUCAGCCUCCUCGAAUAGGAGCUUGAAAAGGAUACGGUGCUCUCGGCAUUGCGAGCACCCACGCGAGAAACAGGGAAGCUUUGUGGAAAAAAAAGGGGAGAGAGUAACGGUAAAGAAAAGAAUAUUUCAAAGAUGAAACUCUUUCAUCGAAUAUAAAUUAAUCGCAAAUCGAAUUCAUCCAUUAUAAUUGUGAAAAGUUGACACAAUUUAAAACUUGUACUCGAGUAAUUAAAUUGGACAUAACAGAAAACGACACAAUGAAAAAUGCAUCGAUAAUAUUUCUUUGAAAUAAAAAAAGAAAUGAAAAAAGGAAACAUCUGGCUGCGUAACUAAAAUUGUUUUUUAUAUUAUUGUAAUUUAUUUAAUUAAUAAUAUAACCAUGUUAAUUAUUAAUUAAACGAGCGAUCAUUAAUCGGUUGUUGGAAGAGUAAUAAUUGAGAUAAAACGAUCAUUCUUUGUAAUCAUAAUAUAAGAUGAUCACUGCAGAUGUAAUGCAUCGAUUUUAUCGUAAUUUUUUUUAUUCUAGAAUUGAUUAUUGGUCAUAGCAGAAAAAUUUAUUUCUUGUAAGAGUUAUUGAAACCACAAAUUCUUUCAAAAAAGCAAAGUCAAGUAUUCAAUAUAUUUUUUGCACUCUCCAUUCUAGAAAUAUUGUUAUUUCUUUCUGCUUCUUGCAAUGUAUUAAAGAAUCCAAGGUUGUUAUGUUAUUACUAACCCACGAUGGAACAAUGUUUCAAUCUUUCAGUUUUUCUUGAGAGACGAUAUUUUUUUAUAAUUAUAAAAGGAUAUAUUUUUAAUGAGGUAAAAUAAUUAUAAUAUAAUU